UACGGGGGGGGCAAGCGUUGUUCGGAAUUACUGGGCGUAAAGGGCUCGUAGGCGGCCAACUAAGUCGGACGUGAAAUCCCUCAGCUUAACUGGGGAACUGCGUCUGAUACUGGAUGGCUUGAGUUUGGGAGAGGGAUGCGGAAUUCCAGGUGUAGCGGUGAAAUGCGUAGAUAUCUGGAGGAACACCGGUGGCGAAGGCGGCAUCCUGGACCAACACUGACACUGAGGAGCGAAAGCCAGGGGAGCAAACGGG
Molecule: ribosomal RNA, 253 nt
Filed under: uncultured bacterium
Lineage: Bacteria
Description: partial 16S ribosomal RNA
Rfam family: Bacterial small subunit ribosomal RNA
Source: RNAcentral